Long non-coding RNA from Ailuropoda melanoleuca (giant panda), 1112 nucleotides. RefSeq lists it as uncharacterized. The transcript is spliced from 6 exons. NCBI's taxonomy places the organism in Eukaryota, Metazoa, Chordata, Mammalia, Carnivora, Ursidae. The record is from RefSeq and is a predicted model, not a curated record.
UCUGGGCCGCAGCCCGCGCCCGAGCUGCAUUCCCACCCGCGCUGGGAGGGAGGGUGGGUUUCCUGUGGUUCCUGCCGCUUCAGCUAGCGGUCCCUGCCGCUUCAGCUAGCGGUCCCGAACCCUCCCGUACCGUGCCGCACCUUCUCCUCGUCGUUCCCUUUGACCCCCGCCGACAACAGUCCCGGCGCCCCGGGAGGAGAAACCGAGGCCCGAGGGGGCGGGGAGAGCCGGCGGAGUCCAGCCCUCCGGAUUCCGGGCCCCGCUCUUGGCUCAGUGUCCGGCCCCUCCGCCAGGCCGUGCGAGCUCUGCGGCUGUCUUGGAAGCAGAUGGAGACUGUCCCUUGGACGGCUUUGCGGGCCGAGCCGCAGGCAGCACGCACCCCUUUCUGCCCCGCAGGACCGUGGUCCGCAGCGCCAGAUGCCCCCCACCCCCGUGUGCAGGGCUGAGGCCUGCUGGGGACAAGUUGGAUCUGUUGCAGAUGAGCCCACCGUGUGCAGAGGCAUCGUGAGAGUUGUAUCAGGAGCAUUCUAGACCCCAAUGUCCUUGAGCUUGGAGAAAGAUGAGAUCACGUUGGAACCUGGACACUUGUGACCUCCUGCCCUGUGGCAUCCUCCUCGCUCUAGGAGUGCUGCCUUGGAGCUGGAGAUUGCUGGAGGAAGCCUGAGUGGAUGGAGGCACUGGCCCUCUCAGGGUGACCUGGGCCCCAGCUGCCCUGGAGGGACCUCCUCAUGAUUAUGUUGGGGUUGAUCGUGGACACUGGAGUAGCAUGAUGAAGAAUAAUGUUGCCAGGUGAAGCAUCGCCAGACCUUCUUACCCUGUUGCCUCAGCACAGCAUGGAAGCACUUUUCCCUCUGUGUAAGCAGGCCAGAGGGAAAGCCCUGGGACCCUGGAGGCUUGAGGUCCAGAGCUAGAGACUUCAGCUCUUUCUGCCACUCCCCCAGCAGGUGUCACCGAGCGCCGUGGACCAGGAAGACCGGUUCCCUUCCACCUGGGCCAGGUUGUCCAGCAGCCUCACGUCUCCCAACCUACUCCUCCUGUAACGUUUUAGAACCAAGAGUUUUCUGCACUGUGCAUCCUUGUCCUCUCACCCACCCAAUAAAUCUUGAAACUGC